GGAGUGGCUGUGGCUCAAUGGAAGAGCCUCCAAUUUGUAUGGAGAAGGUCCCAGGUUCGAUCCUUGGCAUCUCCA
Molecule: transfer RNA, 75 nt
Filed under: Sphaerodactylus townsendi
Lineage: Eukaryota; Metazoa; Chordata; Lepidosauria; Squamata; Sphaerodactylidae
Description: tRNA-Thr
Source: RNAcentral